ACAAUCCUGAAGUAUCCCUUUAAGGAUUCCAGCUUUAAAGCCAGCAGCAUAUCACACAGACAGAGAGGUUAGCUGGUUACAGGUUGGUUAAGGCCAGCAGCAUAUCACACAGACAGAGAGGUUAGCUGGUUACAGGUUGGUUAAGGCUAGCAGCAUAUCACACAGACAGAGAGGUUAGCUGGUUACAGGUUGGUUAAGGCCAGCAGCAUAUCACACAGACAGAGAGGUUAGCUGGUUACAGGUUGGUUAAGGCCAGCAGCAUAUCACACAGACAGAGAGGUUAGCUGGUUACAGGUUGGUUAAGGCCAGCAGCAUAUCACACAGACAGAGAGGUUAGCUGGUUACAGGUUGGUUAAGGCCAGCAGCAUAUCACACAGACAGAGAGGUUAGCUGGUUACAGGUUGGUUAAGGCUAGCAGCAUAUCACACAGACAGAGGGGUUAGCUGGUUACAGGUUGGUUAAGGCUAGCAGCAUAUCACACAGACAGAGAGGUUAGCUGGUUACAGGUUGGUUAAGGCCAGCAGCAUAUCACACAGACAGAGAGGUUAGCUGGUUACAGGUUGGUUAAGGCCAGCAGCAUAUCACACAGACAGAGAGGUUAGCUGGUUACAGGUUGGUUAAGGCUAGCAGCAUAUCACACAGACAGAGAGGUUAGCUGGUUACAGGUUGGUUAAGGCCAGCAGCAUAUCACACAGACAGAGAGGUUAGCUGGUUACAGGUUAGUUAAGGCUAGCAGCAUAUCACACAGACAGAGGGGUUAGCUGGUUACAGGUUGGUUAAGCCACAGACAGAGAGGUUAGCUGGUUACAGGUUGGUUAAGGCCAGCAGCAUAUCACACAGACAGAGAGGUUAGCUGGUUACAGGUUAGUUAAGGCUAGCAGCAUAUCACACAGACAGAGAGGUUAGCUGGUUACAGGUUGGUUAAGGCCAGCAGCAUAUCACACAGACAGAGAGGUUAGCUGGUUACAGGUUGGUUAAGGCCAGCAGCAUAUCACACAGACAGAGAGGUUAGCUGGUUACAGGUUGGUUAAGGCCAGCAGCGUUUCACACAGACAGAGAGGUUAGCUGGUUACAGGUUGGUUAAGGCCAGCAGCAUAUCACACAGACAGAGAGGUUAGCUGGUUACAGGUUGGUUAAGGCUAGCAGCAUAUCACACAGACAGAGAGGUUAGCUGGUUACAGGUUGGUUAAGGCCAGCAGCAUAUCACACAGACAGAGAGGUUAGCUGGUUACAGGUUGGUUAAGGCUAGCAGCUUUUCACACAUUGAGAACAUUGAGGUUAAACAAAGAGACUCAGUUCAUUGGUGGGAGUCUGUUUUAGACCAUUCCCAUUACUGUAGGAAGAAGACACCUCUCUCUCUUCUCUCUCUCUCCUCUCU
This is a long non-coding RNA of Coregonus clupeaformis (lake whitefish), 1378 nucleotides long. RefSeq lists it as uncharacterized. Lineage: Eukaryota; Metazoa; Chordata; Actinopteri; Salmoniformes; Salmonidae. The record is from RefSeq and is a predicted model, not a curated record. The transcript has 5 exons.